Molecule: ribosomal RNA, 1292 nt
Filed under: uncultured bacterium
Lineage: Bacteria
Description: bacterial SSU rRNA
Rfam family: Bacterial small subunit ribosomal RNA
Source: RNAcentral
GGCAGACGGGUGAGUAACAUGUAGGUAUCUGCCCUUUGGCCUGGAAUAACACGAGGAAACUUGUGCUAAUACCGGAUAAGUCUUUACAGAGAAAGCUUUAUGCACCAUUGGAUGAGCCUGCACUUGAUUAGUUUGUUGGUGGGGUAAUGGCCUACCAAGACUGUGAUCAAUAGCUGAUUUGAGAGGAUGACCAGCCACAUUGGGACUGAGACACGGCCCAAACUCCUACGGGAGGCAGCAGUGGGGAAUCUUGCACAAUGGAGGAAACUCUGAUGCAGCGAUGCCGCGUGAGUGAAGAAGGCCUUUGGGUUGUAAAGCUCUUUCGUCGGGGAAGAAAAUGACUGUACCCGAAUAAGAAGGUCCGGCUAACUUCGUGCCAGCAGCCGCGGUAAUACGAAGGGACCUAGCGUAGUUCGGAAUUACUGGGCUUAAAGAGUUCGUAGGUGGUUGAAAAAGUUGGUGGUGAAAUCCCAGAGCUUAACUCUGGAACUGCCAUCAAAACUUUUCAGCUAGAGUAUGAUAGAGGAAAGCAGAAUUUCUAGUGUAGAGGUGAAAUUCGUAGAUAUUAGAAAGAAUACCAAUUGCGAAGGCAGCUUUCUGGAUCAUUACUGACACUGAGGAACGAAAGCAUGGGUAGCGAAGAGGAUUAGAUACCCUCGUAGUCCAUGCCGUAAACGAUGUGUGUUAGACGUUGGAAAUUUAUUUUCAGUGUCGCAGCGAAAGCGAUAAACACACCGCCUGGGGAGUACGACCGCAAGGUUAAAACUCAAAUGAAUUGACGGGGACCCGCACAAGUAGUGGAGCAUGUGGUUUAAUUCGAAGAUACGCGCAGAACCUUACCAACACUUGACAUGUUCGUCGCGACUCUAAGAGAUUAGAGUUUUCGGUUCGGCCGGACGAAACACAGGUGCUGCAUGGCUGUCGUCAGCUCGUGUCGUGAGAUGUUGGGUUAAGUCCCGCAACGAGCGCAACCCUCACUUUUAGUUGCCAUCAUUAAGUUGGGCACUCUGAAAGAACUGCCAGUGAUAAGCUGGAGGAAGGUGGGGAUGACGUCAAGUCCUCAUGGCCCUUACGUGUUGGGCUACACACGUGCUACAAUGGUAUCUACAACAGGACGCAAGACUGCGAGGUCGAGCAAAUCCUUAAAAGAUACCUCAGUUCGGAUUGCACUCUGCAACUCGAGUGCAUGAAGCUGGAAUUACUAGUAAUCGUGGAUCAGCGUGCCACGGUGAAUGCGUUCCCGGGUCUUGUACACACCGCCCGUCACACCAUGGGAGUUGGUUCUACCUUAA